CCUACGGGAGGCAGCAGUGAGGAAUAUUGGUCAAUGGCCGUAAGGCUGAACCAGCCAAGCCGCGUGAAGGAAGAAGGAUCUAGGGUUUGUAAACUUCUUUUAUAGGGGAAUAAAGGUAUCCACGUGUGGAUAUUUGCAUGUACCCUAUGAAUAAGCAUCGGCUAACUCCGUGCCAGCAGCCGCGGUAAUACGGAGGAUGCGAGCGUUAUCCGGUUUUAUUGGGUUUAAAGGGUGCGUAGGUUGUUUUUUUAGUCAGCGGUGAAAUUUUGUGGCUCAACCAUAAAAUUGCCGUUGAAACUGGGAGACUGGAGUGUGUGAGAGGUAAGCGGAAUGCGUGGUGUAGCGGUGAAAUGCGUAGAUAUCAGGAAGAACUCCGAUUGCGAAGGCGGCUUACUGGGCCAUAACUGACGCUGAGGCACGAAAGCGUGGGGAUCAAACAGGAUUAGAUACCCCGGUAGUC
Molecule: ribosomal RNA, 460 nt
Filed under: uncultured bacterium
Lineage: Bacteria
Description: partial 16S ribosomal RNA
Rfam family: Bacterial small subunit ribosomal RNA
Source: RNAcentral